RNAcentral lists this long non-coding RNA (982 nucleotides) under Scleropages formosus (Asian bonytongue). RNAcentral's name for it is "lncRNA (ENSSFOG00015024667.1)". The stretch from base 531 to 608 matches the Rfam family "mir-9/mir-79 microRNA precursor family". Lineage: Eukaryota; Metazoa; Chordata; Actinopteri; Osteoglossiformes; Osteoglossidae. The record is from RNAcentral.
CAGUCACUGGAGGAAGCGCCGGGAGAGACGCUCGAGCUCGGGAGGUCUCGAGAACAUCGGGGAUGGAGAAGAAGACGGAUUCUGGAGGGGAACUGAGCGAAAGGAGCAAAACCAGGACGCAUCUAUAUGGAUUCCCAAUUCUGCUCAAAAGAGAAAAAUAAAAACUACCAUUCAAAAGACAAGAUUUUCUAAUCUUGGAAAUAAAACACCUAAGUGUUGGACAGACAUUUUAAACGCCUGAGGAUCUACAUCGUAUUUGAUUAAUUGAAUCGCUUCGUGCCUUGUUUUUCAUGAUGCUCGUGCCUGCGCUGGGUUGGUAAUAAUUCCCAUAUUUUUUCCAAAAGCGCAUAGUCUGACCGUGAGAACAGACGUCCAGCAGUUUCAGGGUUUACACUCCCCGAACUGGAGCCUAUUAAAAGAUCUGCCGCACAGAGGCAUCAUGGAGGGAUCACUCCGCGGAGAGAAAGACCGUCUAUGUUUUUCAUAAACUGAAGCGGGCUUCCACUACUGGGAAAAUUAAAAAUGGGAGUGGGUUGCUAUCUUUGGUUAUCUAGCUGUAUGAGUGUUAGUCAACCAUCAUAAAGCUAGAUAACCGAAAGUAGAAAUGACUUCCAAAUCUGCGCUUAAGUUUUUAUAAAACAUGCUGCAAAUGAAAGAAGUGGCAUCCAGCACAUGGCAAAAACAUCAAAAAUCACAACGCAUCUUCAAAGAACCCACUCCAGCAACUGUGUCCUGGAUGAAGAGAGCAUUUGAGAGCUGUCACAAAGUUGUCACAAAGAUGAAGGAAAAUGGCUCCUAGGUUGUCCAGAUAGGCUGAUGACAUUUCUUCAUAGGACUGAUACAGAAUGGGUCCUUCUGGCCGGAUGUGGGUGAGACAUGGUGACCUGAAGCUCAGAAUAUGUGACUGGCCUUGCAGCCAGCGUACCGUGCUCUUGUAAAAGUUAAACCAGCAAAAUAAACUCUUUUCAGAGUUGUUUUAACA